AAGACCUUACGCUUUUGGAGCGGCCGAUGUCUGAUUAGCUUGUUGGUGAGGUAAAGGCUUACCAAGGCUUCGAUCAGUAGCUGGUCUGAGAGGACGACCAGCCACACUGGGACUGAGACACGGCCCAGACUCCUACGGGAGGCAGCGGUGGGGAAUUUUGGACAAUGGGGGAAACCCUGAUCCAGCCAUGCCGCGUGAGUGAAGAAGGCCUUCGGGUUGUAAAGCUCUUUCAGCCGGAACGAAACGGUUACGGUUAAUACCCGUGAUUACUGACGGUACCGGAAGAAGAAGCACCGGCUAACUACGUGCCAGCAGCCGCGGUAAUACGUAGGGUGCGAGCGUUAAUCGGAAUUACUGGGCGUAAAGCGUGCGCAGGUGGUUUUGUAAGUCAGAUGUGAAAUCCCCGGGCUUAACCUGGGAACU
Molecule: ribosomal RNA, 423 nt
Filed under: uncultured bacterium
Lineage: Bacteria
Description: bacterial SSU rRNA
Rfam family: Bacterial small subunit ribosomal RNA
Source: RNAcentral